This 599-nucleotide long non-coding RNA is filed under the name Marmota monax (woodchuck). Lineage: Eukaryota; Metazoa; Chordata; Mammalia; Rodentia; Sciuridae. The record is from RNAcentral.
GGAAAACACUACACACACAAGGAAACAAAGAUCCAACAGAAAUGACUGAUAGCAGAAUCAAAUACAGAAUAUACAAUGAGUAUGUUUAAUGUUUCAAUAAGGAGAGGCUUGGGAAAAUGAGUAGUUUAGGAAGAAAGGAAGUCACAGAAAAGCACAUACAGCAUGAUUCCAUUGAUAUAUAAAGGUCAAAAAUAGAUCAAACCAAACAAUAGACUUUUUAGGAGUACAGACACAGAGGUUUAAAAAAUAACUAUGAAGAAAAGCAUAGAAAUGAUUAAUACAAUGCAUGAUGCUGGUUAUUUUUGGGGGAAGAAGGAGAUGUGAUUAGAUAAGGACAUACUGAUGACUUCUUGAGUGUGGUAAUAUGUUUCUUAACCUGAGGGGUAGGUUAAGAAACAUUUAUUGUUUUUAAAUUGUACAUUUAGAAACUUUAAAUUUAUAUUACAUUCACCUAUUGUAUGUAUGCUAAAGUUCAUAAUAAAAAGGAAAUAUAUAACAAAUUAUAUAUAAAAUCUGUUGAUUAUUUUUUCUUAGACCAUAUUUAUAAAUUCCACUAUCAGGGUAUUUCAACUGUAUGGCAAAGCCUGCUUUUCUUCUAG